This 368-nucleotide ribosomal RNA is filed under the name uncultured organism. Its description in RNAcentral is "bacterial SSU rRNA". It matches the Rfam family "Bacterial small subunit ribosomal RNA", at positions 526 to 896 of the family's 1533-position model. The record is from RNAcentral.
CGUAGGUGGCAAGCGUUGUCCGGAUUUAUUGGGUUUAAAGGGUGCGUAGGCGGCCUCAUAAGUCAGUGCUGAAAUAUCCCGGCUUAACCGGGAGGGUGGCAUUGAUACUGCGAGGCUUGAGUGAAGUCGAGGUAGGCGGAAUUGACGGUGUAGCGGUGAAAUGCUUAGAUAUCGUCAAGAACACCGAUAGUGAAGACAGCUUACUAGACUUCAACUGACGCUGAGGCACGAAAGUGUGGGGAUCAAACAGGAUUAGAUACCCUGGUAGUCCACACUGUAAACGUUGAUUACUCGAUGUGUGCGAUACACAGUACGCGUCUUAGCGCAAGCGAUAAGUAAUCCACCUGGGGAGUACGCCGGCAACGGUG